Molecule: ribosomal RNA, 881 nt
Filed under: Cortinarius carneipallidus
Lineage: Eukaryota; Fungi; Basidiomycota; Agaricomycetes; Agaricales; Cortinariaceae
Description: eukaryotic LSU rRNA
Rfam family: Eukaryotic large subunit ribosomal RNA
Source: RNAcentral
AACUGCGAGUGAAGCGGGAAAAGCUCAAAUUUAAAAUCUGUCAGUCUUUGGCUGUCCGAGUUGUAAUCUAGAGAAGUGUUAUCCGCGCUGGACCGUGUACAAGUCUCCUGGAAUGGAGCGUCAUAGAGGGUGAGAAUCCCGUCUUUGACACGGACUGCCAGGGCUUUGUGAUGCGCUCUCAAAGAGUCGAGUUGUUUGGGAAUGCAGCUCAAAAUGGGUGGUAAAUUCCAUCUAAAGCUAAAUAUUGGCGAGAGACCGAUAGCGAACAAGUACCGUGAGGGAAAGAUGAAAAGAACUUUGGAAAGAGAGUUAAACAGUACGUGAAAUUGCUGAAAGGGAAACGCUUGAAGUCAGUCGCGUUGACCAGGGAUCAACCCUUGCUUUUGCUUGGUGUACUUUCUGGUUGACGGGUCAGCAUCAAUUUUGACUAUUGGAAAAAGAUCAGGGGAAUGUGGCAUCUUUGGAUGUGUUAUAGCCUCUGGUUGUAUACAAUGGUUGGGAUUGAGGAACUCAGCACGCGCCGCAAGGCCGGGUUUUUAACCACGUACGUGCUUAGGAUGCUGGCAUAAUGGCUUUAAUCGACCCGUCUUGAAACACGGACCAAGGAGUCUAACAUGCCUGCAAGUGUUUGGGUGGAAAACCCGAGCGCGUAAUGAAAGUGAAAGUUGAGAUCCCUGUCGUGGGGAGCAUCGACGCCCGGACCAGAUCUUUUGUGACGGUUCCGCGGUAGAGCAUGUAUGUUGGGACCCGAAAGAUGGUGAACUAUGCCUGAAUAGGGUGAAGCCAGAGGAAACUCUGGUGGAGGCUCGUAGCGAUUCUGACGUGCAAAUCGAUCGUCAAAUUUGGGUAUAGGGGCGAAAGACUAAUCGAACCAUCUAGUA